Molecule: ribosomal RNA, 402 nt
Filed under: uncultured bacterium
Lineage: Bacteria
Description: bacterial SSU rRNA
Rfam family: Bacterial small subunit ribosomal RNA
Source: RNAcentral
GGGCCCGCACAAGCGGUGGAGCAUGUGGUUUAAUUCGAUGAUACGCGAGGAACCUUACCAGGGCUUAAAUGUAGAGUGACAGGUCUAGAGAUAGAUUUUUCUUCGGACACUUUACAAGGUGCUGCAUGGUUGUCGUCAGCUCGUGCCGUGAGGUGUCAGGUUAAGUCCUAUAACGAGCGCAACCCCUGUUGUUAGUUGCCAGCGAGUAAUGUCGGGAACUCUAGCAAGACUGCCAGUGCAAACUGUGAGGAAGGUGGGGAUGACGUCAAAUCAUCACGGCCCUUACGUCCUGGGCUACACACGUGCUACAAUGGUAGGUACAGAGAGCAGCCAAUGCGUGAGCAUGAGCGAAUCUACAAAACCUAUCUCAGUUCGGAUCGGAGUCUGCAACUCGACUCCGUG